GAGAUAAAGAGAUAUCGCCAAUGUCGAAGACGACAAAUGAGAUAUUUUUGAGGAAUAAUGAGUAUAUGAAUUAGAUUUAGUUUUGUCGAUAAAUUUAAUGUAUAUUUAGGUUAUCUAGUGGCUUAUUGGGCUCAUGUAUUGACAGUUAAAUAUUGAUUAUAUAGCGUGUCGGUGAUGGUUUUGGGUAUUGUUACGGUGAUGGUGUGGUUACUACAUAACUCAUGACCUAACCUUACACGUUUUUAGCGGUUAACGGUUAUAACCGUAACCUCAAAAUACCCAAUUAAUAUGGUUAAUAACCGUCAAACUCGGUAAGGUUACAGUCAGUUAAACGAUUAAGCGGUUGGAAUUGCCAAACCCACUCUUAGCAAGAGGUGACCCUAUCAAAAUCAGCUAGUAGGUUUUUGGGGAGGGUGAACGCCCCCUGAUCUCCCCUCUCCGUCGUCGUUCUUCCCCUUUCAAAACCCGGUGGCGGCCCUCUUUCUUCGCUGUUUCCGCCGUCCCUUGUGGCUCCCCCGGGCCCUCUCCUCCCCUUCUCUCUGGCUCUCGUCAAAGUCCCUUGGCUGAAACUCGAGCUCAUAAUGGUUCAGAUGCUCGCCGGCCUGCGAAAUUCCAUUGGUAGUUCAUAGAUUUGAACCCAACAGUCUCAUUUGUCGAGAUCGAGGCUUGUCGGUUUUCCGAUGCCGUCCUAUUGCUUGAGGUUGAAGAAGGUGUCGGAUACUCUCCACGGUCUACCGUUCCAGGCGGUGUCUCUAUCCUCCACCAAUUUGAAGUUGAGCGCAAAGGUGUUGCGUGCCCCUGUCUCGCUGAUUUCUAGCCCUCGUGCUUCCGGCCACGUUGCCGUCAAGAUGGUGUGAAUCACCUGCUUGGAUUAGUUCUUUGUUGAGAACAUUUCCGCGACAAGCACCUAGAGUCCUCCAGCUCCGAUCACAGGGAUAAGAUCGGUCGGUGUCCCUCUAAGUACAGGUUUCUCACAGCUCCAUUCGCGGGUCAUCUUCACCAGCUCGGACAGAUCCAUUCUCUGAUUGGAUAGGUAUGUGGGUAGUUUGUUGACUGUUUGGUCUCUGUUUUGGUAUGAUUUGUGUUUGUAAGUGCUGGUGCUUGUGGUUGGUAGAGUGGGAGGGAGGAUAGGUUUAAGUAUGAGAAUCAGGGGAGGAGUUUGGUGAUGUUGCAAUUACUCCAUUGUGAGCUUUUACUUUUCCGUAGGUAACUGACUCUCCUAUCUGCAUCCUAGCUUUGCCUUUGGGUCUGCUCUGUGUUUUCUUUUCGUUCCAGAGGUAAACGUCAAUAUGAGGGAUAUUGAGGUUGAAGGUAUUCCGCUUGAUGAGUUGUCCUUCCUCUUUCAUGUUUCUGCUCACAAUAGAUUUGGGGCUUUUUAAUGACAAACGAUGGAUUCCCUUCUUCCGUUUAUGUUUAUUGGGUGAAAGUGUUUAAUAAUGGAUAUUGGCUUCUUUCUUCCAACGGUGGUUGUACCCACAGACUUGCAGGUAUUAAAUGGGGGAGCGGUAGUAGUGCUUUUAUGGCACCGUGUCCAGAGCAUCUCCGUCACUUUCUGGGGUGUCUUGCCGGUGGAUUCACAAACAGUCAGGAUUAGGGUGGAUUCACAAGGAAUCAAAGCGGAUCCAUUGGGAUCAAGGCGGACUCUGGCGGAGUCAAGACGGAGGCUAUGUAGGCGGUUAAAGCAUAGGGAGAGAAAACAAAAAGUUUUUCUUUCCGACUGUUGGGGCUGAUUCAGUUGCCGUUAAUGAACUUAUAAUUCCAUCGUCCAACUACCUAACUUUACCUGAAUUUUAUCACAUGUUUUGUCUAUUGCCAAGAAAAAAUUAUCCGAUAUUAAUGAAUAAUAUAAAUAUCAAUCAAAAUUCUCUUAUAAUAAUUAAUUUAUUGGAAUGUAAUGUACGGUUCUUGACAUGAUAUCGGAGUUUUACAUGAUCGAGGGGUUUUUUAUUUCGAAUUUCGGUAACCCCCACAUGCAUGC
RNAcentral lists this long non-coding RNA (1978 nucleotides) under Linum usitatissimum (flax). RNAcentral describes it as "long non-coding RNA (LUSI_LNC005030)". The record is from RNAcentral. Lineage: Eukaryota; Viridiplantae; Streptophyta; Magnoliopsida; Malpighiales; Linaceae.